UCAGAAUUCUUUCUUUCAGCAUACAGGUUUUACUAAUAGAGUCUGGCUAGAGCUGGGAGAACAAAAUUCCACCCUCUGAGAGUUUGUGACCUCACAGUGGCUGUGGAUCCCCGAGGCCCGAGGUUCUUACCUGGAGGAGAAGGAGUCGAGGCUGCCCACACAGAGUGUUCGGAGGAGAAGGGAGAAGCAAGCUCCAGAGGACUCUUAGAAGGGGCUCCACCCUCAUGACCUGAUCACCCCCGAAAGAUCCUGCAACUCCAUGCUAGGAGCUCGCCAGGCCACUUCGGAUCUGCGCUCUUGGCCGCUUCCAAGGCCUCCAGUCUCCUUUAACCGGGGAAACCAAGGACCGCGGAGGGUCCUCUGACUGUUGACUCGCGCGUUCCAAUCUGCAUCCUUUCAAGUUGAUGCGCCCAGGACCCAAGGACGCAGCACUGGGACUCCGGUGUGGCGCCUUGCAGUGACACCCCAUCCCCAGGGCUUGCUUGGGCCUUGGCUGCGAGGCCCUCUUGACACCACGAAGGAUGACGAAGCUGGUCUGCGGCAGCCAACGCCCCUCCCCCCCUACUCUUCGCACUCGCUGGUGGGCAUCACGGCCCAGGAAGCAGGAGUCGAGAACUGACACCUUGGUGAAGAGGGGCCAUGAGAGGCAUCUCCAUCCUGCCAGGAAGCUGCUGGACCCCAGCGCUCCCACGG
Long non-coding RNA from Peromyscus eremicus (cactus mouse), 693 nucleotides. RefSeq lists it as uncharacterized. The record is from RefSeq and is a predicted model, not a curated record. The transcript is spliced from 5 exons. NCBI's taxonomy places the organism in Eukaryota, Metazoa, Chordata, Mammalia, Rodentia, Cricetidae.